AGGGUUAUAGUUAAUUAUAACAUUUAAUUUGCAUUUAAAAAGUAUUGAAAUUUCAAUUAACCUU
RNAcentral lists this transfer RNA (64 nucleotides) under Trigonidium sjostedti. RNAcentral describes it as "tRNA-Ala". Lineage: Eukaryota; Metazoa; Arthropoda; Insecta; Orthoptera; Trigonidiidae. The record is from RNAcentral.